Molecule: ribosomal RNA, 498 nt
Filed under: uncultured bacterium
Lineage: Bacteria
Description: partial 16S ribosomal RNA
Rfam family: Bacterial small subunit ribosomal RNA
Source: RNAcentral
AUUGAGCGCUGGCGGCAUGCCUUACACAUGCAAGUCGAACGGUAACAGGUCUUCGGAUGCUGACGAGUGGCGAACGGGUGAGUAAUACAUCGGAACGUGCCUAGUAGUGGGGGAUAACUACCCGAAAGAGUGGCUAAUACCGCAUGAGAUCUACGGAUGAAAGCAGGGGAUCGCCAGACCUUGUGCUACUAGAGCGGCCGAUGGCAGAUUAGGUAGUUGGUGGGAUAAAAGCUUACCGAGCCGACGAUCUGUAGCUGGUCUGAGAGGACGAUCAGCCACACUGGGACUGAGACCGGGCCCAGACUCCUACGGGAGGCAGCAGUGGGGAAUGUUGGACAAUGGGCGAAAGCCUGAUCCAGCAAUGCCGCGUGCAGGAUGAAGGCCUUCGGGUUGUAAACUGCUUUUGUACGGAACGAAAAGCCCCGGGUUAAUACCCUGGGGUCAUGAUGGUACCGUAAGGAUAAGCACCGGCUAACUACGUGCCAGCCGCCGCUGUAA